RNAcentral lists this long non-coding RNA (405 nucleotides) under Trifolium pratense (red clover). Its description in RNAcentral is "long non-coding RNA (TPRA_LNC005760)". The record is from RNAcentral. Lineage: Eukaryota; Viridiplantae; Streptophyta; Magnoliopsida; Fabales; Fabaceae.
UCUUUCUCUCUGUACUCUCACGCCCUCUUUCUCUCUUCUCACCACAACCAUCAACUUCACUCCAUCUUGAAUCAAUCACCACAUGCAAACUAUUUUCUAUCAUCCUUGGGUUAUUAAUAGGUAAGAUUUGUUGUGUCACUCCUCACCCAAUCUUUCUCCCUCAUGCUCAAAAUCCUUUUACCUAAAUUCUCAAAGAACAGCCGCUGCAUGUUAGAGAUCUUACUUGGGUUGAGUUUAUUGUUCAGAAGCUUGAGGUAAGAAGGAAAAAGCUCACUUUCCCUUUCCAAACUGUCAAUGAGUUUUUCUUCAUUUAAUCCAAUUAUCCAAAUACCUAUUCUUCAUCUCUUACUCGAAAUUGGUCAUUUCAUGUGUUGUCUUUACCCCUUAAAGCACUCUCUGAAGUUG